GUGCUGGUCGGCACGCUCAUCUUCGUGCUUCUUUUCGCCGUGUUCUGCUACCGCUCGGACAACGGCGCGCGACCCGUACCCCAGUCCUACGCGGUGGUGUCAGACCACGUGAUGAGGCACGCCACCAUCGAGAGGUUCUUCGCGGAGAUGGCCAACGAGAAGCCCAUCCGGUUCACGCCGGGCCAGCUCCAAGGCUACACCAGCAACUACUCGUCCCGUCUUGGCGCCGGCGGGUUCGGCACGGUCUACAAGGGCGCGCUCCCCAACGGCCUCGCCGUCGCGGUCAAGGUGCUCCACGGCGACCACAACCAGCGGUCCGAGGAGCACUUCAUGGCGGAGAUGGGCACCAUCGGGAGGACGCACCACAUCAACCUCGUCAGGCUGUUCGGUUUCUGCUUCGACGCCUCCGUGCGCGCGCUGGUGUACGAGUUCAUGCAGCACGGCGCGCUCGACGCCUACCUCUUCAACCGCGCCGCCGGCGUGGGCUUGGCCACGGUGGCCGCGAUCACCACCGGCGUGGCACGGGGUCUGAGGUACCUCCACGAGGAGUGCCAUCAGAAGAUCAUCCACUACGACAUCAAGGGUGGUAACGUCCUCCUCGACAGAACCCUCACGCCCAAGGUGGCUGACUUCGGGCUCGCGCGACUGGUGGACCGGGCAGACACGCACGUCUCCAUGUCCGGCGUGCGCGGUACACCCGGCUAUGCGGCGCCGGAGCUGUGGAUGGGUUCUGGUGUGACGGAGAAGUGCGACGUCUACAGCUUCGGCAUGUUGCUGUUCGAGGCCGUCGGCCGGAGGAGGAACUUCGACGAGGCCGCGCCGGAGAGCCAGCAGUGGUUCCCUAAGCUGGCGUGGACCAGGUACGAGAGCGGCGAGCUGGUGGAGCUCGUGAUGCCGAGCAGCGGUGACGACCAUGGCGUGGAUGCUGUGGAUGAGCCGCAGCAACAGCUGUGCAAGGAGCUGGCGGAGAGGAUGUGCAAGGUAGCGUUCUGGUGCGUGCAACAGCAGCCGGGGGCGAGGCCGCCAAUGGGCGCUGUGGUGAAGAUGCUGGAGGGCGAGAUGGACAUUGCUCUGCCGCCGAACCCAUUCCGGCAUCUUAUGGACGACGUGCCGGUGGAUAAUCUUUGGACGACAAUGACGAGCAGCGUAAACACAGCAUCAGCGUCG
This 1167-nucleotide ribosomal RNA is filed under the name Triticum aestivum (bread wheat). RNAcentral's name for it is "partial small subunit ribosomal RNA". Lineage: Eukaryota; Viridiplantae; Streptophyta; Magnoliopsida; Poales; Poaceae. The record is from RNAcentral.